GCCGGUGUAGCUCAGCUGGUAGAGCGUCUGAUUUGUAAUCAGAGGGUCGCAGGUUCGACUCCUGUCACCGGCUCCA
Molecule: transfer RNA, 76 nt
Filed under: Thioalkalivibrio halophilus
Lineage: Bacteria; Pseudomonadati; Pseudomonadota; Gammaproteobacteria; Chromatiales; Ectothiorhodospiraceae
Description: tRNA-Thr
Rfam family: tRNA
About the family: Transfer RNA (tRNA) molecules are approximately 80 nucleotides in length. Their secondary structure includes four short double-helical elements and three loops (D, anti-codon, and T loops). Further hydrogen bonds mediate the characteristic L-shaped molecular structure. tRNAs have two regions of fundamental functional importance: the anti-codon, which is responsible for specific mRNA codon recognition, and the 3' end, to which the tRNAs corresponding amino acid is attached (by aminoacyl-tRNA synthetases). tRNAs cope with the degeneracy of the genetic code in two manners: having more than one tRNA (with a specific anti-codon) for a particular amino acid; and 'wobble' base-pairing, i.e. permitting non-standard base-pairing at the 3rd anti-codon position.
Source: RNAcentral